RNAcentral lists this ribosomal RNA (323 nucleotides) under uncultured bacterium. RNAcentral's name for it is "bacterial SSU rRNA". It matches the Rfam family "Bacterial small subunit ribosomal RNA", at positions 35 to 334 of the family's 1533-position model. The record is from RNAcentral.
GACGAACGCGUGGCCGGCGGUGGCCUAAUACAUGCAAGUAGAACGCUGACUACUUUAGGCUUGCUAAGGAGUAGAAGGAGUUGCGAACGGGUGAGUAACGCGUAGGUAACCUGCCUACUAGCGGGGGAUAACUAUUGGAAACGAUAGCUAAUACCGCAUAACAGUGUUUAACACAUGUUAGAUGCUUGAAAGAUGCAAUUGCAUCACUAUGAGAUGGACCUGCGUUGUAUUAGCUAGUUGGUAAGGUAACGGCUUACCAAGGCGACGAUACAUAGCCGACCUGAGAGGGUGAUCGGCCACACUGGGACUGAGACACGGCCCAG